UACGUAGGGGGCUAGCGUUGUCCGGAAUCAUUGGGCGUAAAGCGCGUGUAGGCGGUCCGGUAAGUCCGCUGUGAAAGUCGAGGGCUCAACCCUCGAAUGCCGGUGGAUACUGUCGGGCUUGAGUACGGGAGAGGCGAGUGGAAUUCCUGGUGUAGCGGUGAAAUGCGCAGAUAUCAGGAGGAACACCGGUGGCGAAGGCGGUUCUCUGGGCAUGUCCUGACGCUGAGGAGCGAAAGUGUGGGGAGCGAACAGG
Molecule: ribosomal RNA, 253 nt
Filed under: uncultured bacterium
Lineage: Bacteria
Description: partial 16S ribosomal RNA
Rfam family: Bacterial small subunit ribosomal RNA
Source: RNAcentral